This 492-nucleotide ribosomal RNA is filed under the name uncultured bacterium. Its description in RNAcentral is "partial 16S ribosomal RNA". It matches the Rfam family "Bacterial small subunit ribosomal RNA", at positions 29 to 507 of the family's 1533-position model. The record is from RNAcentral.
AGUGAACGCUGGCGGUAGGCCUAACACAUGCAAGUCGAACGGCAGCACAGUAAGAGCUUGCUCUUACGGGUGGCGCGUGGCGGACGGGUGAGGUAUACAUCGGAAUCUACUUUUUCGUGGGGGAUAACGUCGGGAAACUUACGCUAAUACCGCAUACGACCUACGGGUGAAAGCAGGGGAUCUUUGGACCUUGCGCGAUUGAAUGAGCCGACGUCGGAUUAGCUAGUUGGCGGGGGAAAGGCCAACCAAGGCGACGAUCCGUAGCUGGUCUGAGAGGAUGAUCAGCCACACUGGAACUGAGACACGGUCCAGACUCCGACGGGAGGCAGCAGUGGGGAAUAUUGGACAAUGGGCGCAAGCCUGAUCCAGCCAUACCGCGUGGGUGAAGAAGGCCUUCGGGUUGUAAAGCCCUUUUGUUGGGAAAGAAAAGCAGCAGGUUAAUACCCCGCUGUUCUGACGGUACCCAAAGAAUAAGCACCGGCUAACUUCGUG